Molecule: ribosomal RNA, 2787 nt
Filed under: Escherichia coli
Lineage: Bacteria; Pseudomonadati; Pseudomonadota; Gammaproteobacteria; Enterobacterales; Enterobacteriaceae
Description: bacterial LSU rRNA
Rfam family: Bacterial large subunit ribosomal RNA
Source: RNAcentral
AGCGUACACGGUGGAUGCCCUGGCAGUCAGAGGCGAUGAAGGACGUGCUAAUCUGCGAUAAGCGUCGGUAAGGUGAUAUGAACCGUUAUAACCGGCGAUUUCCGAAUGGGGAAACCCAGUGUGAUUCGUCACACUAUCAUUAACUGAAUCCAUAGGUUAAUGAGGCGAACCGGGGGAACUGAAACAUCUAAGUACCCCGAGGAAAAGAAAUCAACCGAGAUUCCCCCAGUAGCGGCGAGCGAACGGGGAGCAGCCCAGAGCCUGAAUCAGUGUGUGUGUUAGUGGAAGCGUCUGGAAAGGCGCGCGAUACAGGGUGACAGCCCCGUACACAAAAAUGCACAUGCUGUGAGCUCGAUGAGUAGGGCGGGACACGUGGUAUCCUGUCUGAAUAUGGGGGGACCAUCCUCCAAGGCUAAAUACUCCUGACUGACCGAUAGUGAACCAGUACCGUGAGGGAAAGGCGAAAAGAACCCCGGCGAGGGGAGUGAAAAAGAACCUGAAACCGUGUACGUACAAGCAGUGGGAGCACGCUUAGGCGUGUGACUGCGUACCUUUUGUAUAAUGGGUCAGCGACUUAUAUUCUGUAGCAAGGUUAACCGAAUAGGGGAGCCGAAGGGAAACCGAGUCUUAACUGGGCGUUAAGUUGCAGGGUAUAGACCCGAAACCCGGUGAUCUAGCCAUGGGCAGGUUGAAGGUUGGGUAACACUAACUGGAGGACCGAACCGACUAAUGUUGAAAAAUUAGCGGAUGACUUGUGGCUGGGGGUGAAAGGCCAAUCAAACCGGGAGAUAGCUGGUUCUCCCCGAAAGCUAUUUAGGUAGCGCCUCGUGAAUUCAUCUCCGGGGGUAGAGCACUGUUUCGGCAAGGGGGUCAUCCCGACUUACCAACCCGAUGCAAACUGCGAAUACCGGAGAAUGUUAUCACGGGAGACACACGGCGGGUGCUAACGUCCGUCGUGAAGAGGGAAACAACCCAGACCGCCAGCUAAGGUCCCAAAGUCAUGGUUAAGUGGGAAACGAUGUGGGAAGGCCCAGACAGCCAGGAUGUUGGCUUAGAAGCAGCCAUCAUUUAAAGAAAGCGUAAUAGCUCACUGGUCGAGUCGGCCUGCGCGGAAGAUGUAACGGGGCUAAACCAUGCACCGAAGCUGCGGCAGCGACGCUUAUGCGUUGUUGGGUAGGGGAGCGUUCUGUAAGCCUGCGAAGGUGUGCUGUGAGGCAUGCUGGAGGUAUCAGAAGUGCGAAUGCUGACAUAAGUAACGAUAAAGCGGGUGAAAAGCCCGCUCGCCGGAAGACCAAGGGUUCCUGUCCAACGUUAAUCGGGGCAGGGUGAGUCGACCCCUAAGGCGAGGCCGAAAGGCGUAGUCGAUGGGAAACAGGUUAAUAUUCCUGUACUUGGUGUUACUGCGAAGGGGGGACGGAGAAGGCUAUGUUGGCCGGGCGACGGUUGUCCCGGUUUAAGCGUGUAGGCUGGUUUUCCAGGCAAAUCCGGAAAAUCAAGGCUGAGGCGUGAUGACGAGGCACUACGGUGCUGAAGCAACAAAUGCCCUGCUUCCAGGAAAAGCCUCUAAGCAUCAGGUAACAUCAAAUCGUACCCCAAACCGACACAGGUGGUCAGGUAGAGAAUACCAAGGCGCUUGAGAGAACUCGGGUGAAGGAACUAGGCAAAAUGGUGCCGUAACUUCGGGAGAAGGCACGCUGAUAUGUAGGUGAAGUCCCUCGCGGAUGGAGCUGAAAUCAGUCGAAGAUACCAGCUGGCUGCAACUGUUUAUUAAAAACACAGCACUGUGCAAACACGAAAGUGGACGUAUACGGUGUGACGCCUGCCCGGUGCCGGAAGGUUAAUUGAUGGGGUCAGCGCAAGCGAAGCUCUUGAUCGAAGCCCCGGUAAACGGCGGCCGUAACUAUAACGGUCCUAAGGUAGCGAAAUUCCUUGUCGGGUAAGUUCCGACCUGCACGAAUGGCGUAAUGAUGGCCAGGCUGUCUCCACCCGAGACUCAGUGAAAUUGAACUCGCUGUGAAGAUGCAGUGUACCCGCGGCAAGACGGAAAGACCCCGUGAACCUUUACUAUAGCUUGACACUGAACAUUGAGCCUUGAUGUGUAGGAUAGGUGGGAGGCUUUGAAGUGUGGACGCCAGUCUGCAUGGAGCCGACCUUGAAAUACCACCCUUUAAUGUUUGAUGUUCUAACGUUGACCCGUAAUCCGGGUUGCGGACAGUGUCUGGUGGGUAGUUUGACUGGGGCGGUCUCCUCCUAAAGAGUAACGGAGGAGCACGAAGGUUGGCUAAUCCUGGUCGGACAUCAGGAGGUUAGUGCAAUGGCAUAAGCCAGCUUGACUGCGAGCGUGACGGCGCGAGCAGGUGCGAAAGCAGGUCAUAGUGAUCCGGUGGUUCUGAAUGGAAGGGCCAUCGCUCAACGGAUAAAAGGUACUCCGGGGAUAACAGGCUGAUACCGCCCAAGAGUUCAUAUCGACGGCGGUGUUUGGCACCUCGAUGUCGGCUCAUCACAUCCUGGGGCUGAAGUAGGUCCCAAGGGUAUGGCUGUUCGCCAUUUAAAGUGGUACGCGAGCUGGGUUUAGAACGUCGUGAGACAGUUCGGUCCCUAUCUGCCGUGGGCGCUGGAGAAUUGAGGGGGGCUGCUCCUAGUACGAGAGGACCGGAGUGGACGCAUCACUGGUGUUCGGGUUGUCAUGCCAAUGGCACUGCCCGGUAGCUAAAUGCGGAAGAGAUAAGUGCUGAAAGCAUCUAAGCACGAAACUUGCCCCGAGAUGAGUUCUCCCUGACUCCUUGA